UAUUAACUCCUCGUUAUCCGUUAUCCUCGGUGUCCGUGAUGUGAAUUCAACCUCACCACACACUAUAAUUUCCUAUGCUUUCUAUUUCCAUCAUUUACGUUGUGUUGUAUUGAUUAAACUUACGUCAGUGUAGCUACCUUAAAAUUACAUCCUAUUACAUACCUUGAAACUGCACCAUGUUAUAAGUGAAGCAAGAGUCAAGUUGAGGGCAUAGGUUAUUGCUGCUCAUGGCCCCAGUGCCCAUCUCCGUUACAUACCAUAAUGCGUAACAUCAGCCCAUAUUACGUAUUGUGGGAUUCUGCCGUCAUCUGGCUUCCCAUUACGUCACAUCUUAGCUCAAAAGGAUGUUGUAUUAUCUAUCUGUCUUUCAUCACCUGUAAUGCCCAUAGGUAUUUUUCCUCUUUGAAUAGUCUCAUAAUAUUUCCUAUCCUGGCAUUCCCUCAGCAAAUUUAAUCCCUCUCCUGCAAACUCAUUAUUACUCAUUCACUGUAUUGAUCCAUAUCACUGGUAGUCAUCCCCUGAUAGUUAUAAGAUGCAAAAUUAAUCCAUAUUACAUAACUUGGGAUCCUGUCGUGUUAUCUGGGUUCUCAUUGCGUCAUGUCUUAGCUCAGAAGGAUGUCGUGUUAUCCGUCUAUCUGUCUUUCAAUAUCUCUGACGCCCUGGUCUGUCAUAGGUAUUUUCCCUCACACCAGAAAAGUCUCUAAUCAUUCCUGUCCCGGCAUUCCCUCGGCAAACUCACUCCCUCUCCUGCAAACUCCUCACUCAUCCACUGUAUUAAUCCAUUUCUCAGGUAGUCUGCCUCCCUGUUAGUCCAUCUCCCCAUCAUGUUAUAAGGUGCAGAAUCAAUCCUUAUGACGUAACGUGGGACCAUGUUCUGUAAUCUGGCUUCUCACUGCGUCAUGUAUUACCUCAGUAGGAUGUCGUGUUAUCUAUCUAUCUGUCUUUCUGUAUCUCUGACAUUUUGGACCUGUCAUGGUAUUAUCCCUCCGCUGAAAAGUCUCGUAAUUUUUCCUGUCCCGGCAUAUCCUGUCCACAUAUUCAGUAGAACCAACCACAAGGGCACAGCUAGAUACAGUACAGGUUUACAGACAGGCAGGUGGAUAGAUUAGGUAAGAGACGAAGAGAGAGAGAAAUAGGUGUAGCACGAGUCCUCUAUGCUACAGUUAGAGGCAGACACAGGGAUGGAGACAAGAACACAGACAAACACACAGAGAAACAGAUAACCACACACUCAGGCAGAGACAUAAGUAGGGUGACGAGUCCUUUAUGCUACAAUUUGAUAGAGAAAAGCCAGCAGAGACGAGACUAGUCACACACAUUGAGACACAGACAGACAGGGAUGGCCAGACAGACCUAAUUUCCCACACUUGAGAAAGAGGUGAAUGUGUAGUUUGUGGCCUAACCAUUGGGCUCGGAAUAGCAGCGUGUAAACAGUCAUUUGAAAGGCGGAAAAGUUUACGAGUGUCUGUGUCUGGGAGGAAAAAGUGUGUGUCUAUUACUCUCUCCUCUCUUCUCUCUUUCUUUGUGCUUUCUGAGUCUGUAUUCUUAUUCACUUACAAACCAUCCCCCGGCAUCUUCUCUGGCCCCCUUUCCCCCUCACCCUAAUCCCUGGAGUGUGAAAGGUGUGAGAGAAUGGGGACAAAAACGUGAAUAAGUUACAAAAUACGAGCGAAGAAGGCAAGGGAUUCUCCAUCACAAGAGACUAGCGUUAACUUGAAGAAACUAAAUCAAAGCCUCGCUGAAUGUUCCUCCAAAACAAUAAAAAUUAAAUGAGAAAAUGGGUAGUAUAGGAUUUUUAGUGUAGUACAUAUAGUUAAGUGUUCUUGAUAUUCAUUCAUACUUUGCUUCCCACCUUUCCCCUUGAGUUGUGGAAGGAUGGGAACAAAUAGGUGGAUAAGCAAGGCAAUGAAAGGUGGAAAAAGUUGGAAAGUUUCGUUUAGUCGGCGCAACAUCUGUGGUCAUAUGCCGGAGAGAGACAGAAGGGGAAGGAAUUAUAGGAGAAGGGAACAGAUCACAGGAGAUGGGACACAACCACUGAUUGAUACCUGGUACCCACUCACUGCUGGGUGGACAAGGGCGUAGGGUAUUGGAAAAGCCGCCCAAAUUUUUCCACUCUGCCCGGGAAUCGAACCCAGGCUCUCUUGGUUGUGAGGUGAGUGUGCUAACCACUGCGCCACGAAGCCCCCUACUCUCAAGAUGGGGAAUAGUGGAGGGAGAAAAUAAGAGAGUGGAUGACUGACUGACUGCCUUCUCAAGCUAAAGGAAGGGAGACUAUUUUCAAGGUGUGAGGUACAGAUGAAGGAACAAAUAAUGCUCAGAACAAACAUCAACACCCUGGGAUACCACUGAUUAUGAUGAUUAUAAAAAGGACCAACCUGAAAACUGAGAAGUAACUAUCGUCAAACCAUUUCAAAUAGUCCAUUGAGGUGUUGGCAUCUGCGGGUCCUUUCCUGUCCUAUGCUCUACCACAUGGUCCCAACACCUAUUUUUCCCUCUCAUAUGUUACCUAUAGCCACCGUUGCCAAAUUGCCGUACUCAAAGCCUCGUAUUUACUGGUUUCCGGGACAUAACUAUUGCCAAAAAACACCAAUAAUUAACCAUUUUAACGAUAACUAUAUAUGACGGGAGUUAUUAGGGUCGAGGAGACAGUUUUGGGGUCAGAAAUCGGCAAACUUAGGAGGCCUAUAGCUAACAUAUGAGACAGUUUUGGGGUCAGAAAUCGGCAAACUUAGGUGGCCUAUAGCUAACAUAUGAGAGGAAGGCAUAGGUGUUAGGAUUGUGUGGCAGAGUAGAGGAUAGGAAAGGACCCAUGGAAGACAAAACCUCAACGGACUGUUUGCAAUGGUUUGACUUGAGGUGGGAGAGUGGUAGGAAGCGUUUCAUCAACCAUCUAACCUCAUAGGAAAUCAAUGGAAAAUCUGAUGUUAGAGAAAAGGCGAUGAUGAUAAAGGUAGAGGCCAUUCCAUAGUAAACAAUGGCAGAGAGGACUCCCACCCAAGACCCAAGGAGGAGGAGAGUACUUGGAAGCAUUUCAUCAACCAUCUAACCUCAUAGGAAAUUAAUGGAAAAUCUGAUUCUUGAGCAACAUUCAGUGAGGCUUUGAUAUAGUUUCUUUAAGUUUACGUUAGUCUCCCCCGUGCUGGAGAAUCCCUCGCCUCAGCGUCAGACUUCCUGCCGUGAGAGCUGGGCUGAUGGGGGUGAUAAGACACGCCCCGGAGCUUGGUGACGAGCAGACCCAAUGUUGCAGGGCUGUGUUGGAGGCUAGGACAGGAUGCCGAGGGAUGGUGUUUUGAGAUGCUGGGUUGUGGAAUGAAGUAAAUAUAUUGUUUUUUAAGGUUUUCCGCAGUUAGGAUAAGAUGCUCGAGGGAUGUUUGUGAUGUAUGGUUGUGAUGUGAAGUUAAUGUUGGGUUUAUAAAAUUUAAUGAGGCUAGGGAAAGAUACUGAGGGAUUACUUAAAGACGGUUAGUUGUGAAAAGAAGUAAAUAGGAAAUAAAUGAUUUAAAGAAGUAAAUAAAAAAAGAUAUGUAUUGGCUGUAUAAUACUAUCUUAGAUUAGGACAAAAGGUAAAGUUGGGGGGUGUAGCAGUGCAUGGCCUCGGUGCUCAUCUCCGUAACAUUGGCCCUUGAGCCUGUGAACCCAUUACCCCGGGACACAGGGCCAGUGUGACAAGAUGCUGAGGUAUUUAGUUUGAAAUGAUGUUUGGCUCUGAAAAGAAGUAAGCAUUGGUUUUAUAAGAUUUCUGCAGUUAAGAUGCUGUGAUAUUUGGCUAUGAGAAAAAAGUUAUAUAUUGGUUUUAAAAGAUGAUCUGAGGGUAUGACCAGACACUAAGGGACUAUUCUGAGAUGUACAGUUUUGAAAUUAAGCAAAGAUCAAUUGUACUCACUAAGGAACUAUUCUGAGAUGUACAGUUUUGAAAUUAAGCAAAGAUCAAUUGUACUCACUAAGGAACUAUUCUGAGAUGUACAGUUUUGAAAUUAAGCAAAGAUUGGUUUUAAAAGAUGUUUACAUAUGAAAAUAAAAAAAUGUUGGUUUAAUAUGAUGGCAAGAUAAUAAUGUUUAAUAAUAAGAUAAUCAGGAUGGACAUAAUGUUUAAUAAGAUAAUAGUUAUGACAAGAUCUUGAGGAGAAGCUUCAUGAUAUGCAGUUGAGAAAUUAAGCCAAGAUAAGUUAUAUAACACACACACACACACACACACACACACACACACACACACAGAGCAGCAGCCUAUAAUCCCCGAGAGUGAUGUGUGUGCAUGUGUGUGUGUGUGUGUGUGUUGCUGGGCCAUUGAAUAGGGCGGAGCGCAUUCCACCAUGACGGACAGGCCACACAAUAACCCUACGUGGCGGACAGACACUCGGAAUAAAUAAAUGAAUAGAGAAAUAAACAGAAUAAUCAAAUAAAAAAACUAGGAAAAAUAGAGAAAGUUGUUAUUACUAAAGAUAGAAUGAAAUAUUAGAUUACUAUUCAUAACAAAGGUCAAAAUGAGGCUGCCAGGAGUUUGCAAGAGGCGAGUCACUCUACGCUGGGGAACUUUUUAUUUUUUUAUUUAUUUAUUUAUUUUUUUCAGUAGUAACUUCUCAAGGGUAAAAAAAAAAAAAAGCGUACUGUAAUCUUAACCCAGUAGCAGCGGGGAUCAUGUUUCUUAAUGGUCCCUCUAAGCGAGAAAAAUGAGAAAAAAUCAUCACUUUCUCAAACUAUUUCAUAAUAUAUACCAAAGCAUUUGUGAUCAGUUUAUGCAUCAUCUAUUUUUGGGGGUUUAUAUCAUGGCGCAAAUUUGGCCCGUUGCUGCUACAUGGUAAAGCCACAAAUUUGGCCCAUCGCUGCUACACGGUAAAGCCACAAAUUUGGCCCAUCGCUGCUAUAUGGUAAAGCCACAAAUUUGGCCUGUCGCUGCUACAUGGUAAAGCCACAAAUUUGGCCUGUCGCUGCUACACGGUAAAGCCACAAAUUUGUCCCAUCGCUGCUACAUGGUAAAGCCACAAAUUUGGCCCGUCGCUGCUACAUGGUAAAGCCACAAAUUUGGCCCGUCGCUGCUACACGGUAAAGCCACAAAUUUGUCCCGUCGCUGCUACACGGUAAAGCCACAAAUUUGGCCCAUUGCUGCUACACGGUAAAGCCACAAAUGAGAGAAUUAGGCAAAAAGAACAAGGAAGGAAAAGAUGAUAGGAAAGAAAUAGACCAAGAGGAAGAGAGAGAAGGAAAGUAGAAAAAAAGA
Long non-coding RNA from Eriocheir sinensis (Chinese mitten crab), 5215 nucleotides. RefSeq lists it as uncharacterized. The transcript has 2 exons. The record is from RefSeq and is a predicted model, not a curated record. Lineage: Eukaryota; Metazoa; Arthropoda; Malacostraca; Decapoda; Varunidae.